This 259-nucleotide ribosomal RNA is filed under the name uncultured bacterium. Its description in RNAcentral is "partial 16S ribosomal RNA". It matches the Rfam family "Bacterial small subunit ribosomal RNA", at positions 1234 to 1500 of the family's 1533-position model. The record is from RNAcentral.
GGGGUACGAGAGGGCCGCUACCACGCGAGUGGAUGCCAAUCCCCAAAACCUCUCUCAGUUCGGACUGGAGUCUGCAACCCGACUCCACGAAGCUGGAUUCGCUAGUAAUCGCGCAUCAGCCACGGCGCGGUGAAUACGUUCCCGGGCCUUGUACACACCGCCCGUCAAGCCAUGGGAGCCGGGGGUACCUGAAGUGCGUAACCGCGAGGAGCGCCCUAGGGUAAAACUGGUGACUGGGGCUAAGUCGUAACAAGGUACC